This 193-nucleotide unclassified non-coding RNA is filed under the name uncultured fungus. RNAcentral describes it as "sequence contains ITS2". Lineage: Eukaryota; Fungi. The record is from RNAcentral.
AAUUCUCAACUUCUCUAGUUUUUUGACUAGUAGAUAGCUUGGAUGUGGGGGUUUUUGCAGGCUUUCACAAGUCAGCUCCCCUUAAAUAUAUUAGCCGGUAUUAUCUGACCGUCUAUUAAUGUGAUAAUUAUCUACAUUGUAGACUUUCAAGUUGUACUGCUUAUAACCGUCCUGUAUAGGACAAUUUAUGACA